This 259-nucleotide unclassified non-coding RNA is filed under the name Hevea brasiliensis (rubber tree). The record is from RNAcentral. Lineage: Eukaryota; Viridiplantae; Streptophyta; Magnoliopsida; Malpighiales; Euphorbiaceae.
GCUUUGGAGCAUUAGAAUUGGCCUGCAGGAGUAUUGAAAGUUAAUAAGCCCAGAAGAAAAAUACGAGCAGAACAAUGAGAUAUUCAGGUCCUCCUGGGAAGGACAGAACAUGCAGCGGAAACAGCGAAUCUGUUUGAAAAUUAUUCCAGUUUAAAUGCAACUAGCUUUUAAACAAGAAAGUAAUUCUGAUAAAUGAAUCUGCAUGCCAAAAAAGGGAAAAGCUUUUCAUGGAAAUAUCAGAUAAUGCAAAAAGAACAUA